GGUGUUCUGGGAAUUUCUCCUACCCCGCAAACCGUCCUACCCGUUGUUCCUGAGCAUGUGCGCGCAUGCGCACAACACAUAAAGCGAAGCAAAGCGCAUCCGGCUGUGAUUUAAUGCUACCCCGUUGUCAUAUUUGCAGGAAAAUAGCUUCGGUGAAGUCUGCUGUCAAGUUACUGGACACGUGGUAUUUGCACAACACUUCUGAAUCCGCAGCUUCGGUGUUUUAAGGCUGUUUCGAUAUGGAGAAGAAGUGGGAAGAGAUUUAC
Oreochromis aureus is the source of this 266-nucleotide long non-coding RNA. RefSeq lists it as uncharacterized. The transcript has 3 exons. The record is from RefSeq and is a predicted model, not a curated record. Lineage: Eukaryota; Metazoa; Chordata; Actinopteri; Cichliformes; Cichlidae.